Long non-coding RNA from Cavia porcellus (domestic guinea pig), 7182 nucleotides. RefSeq lists it as uncharacterized. NCBI's taxonomy places the organism in Eukaryota, Metazoa, Chordata, Mammalia, Rodentia, Caviidae. The record is from RefSeq and is a predicted model, not a curated record. The transcript is spliced from 3 exons.
GAGGCACUCUAGAACAGUGGUGGUGAACCUGUGGCACUGCUCUGGGCUGCAGUGUCAAUGAAAGCUCUUCAGGGUUCUCCAUGACUACUCUAGAAUACUGUUUGUCUCCAAGAGGGGAAGGGACACACAAGGAGUUUGGUUCGUGGCUGGGGCCAGUAUAACAAAAGACGGAUCGAAGAGAGAAAAGCAUGGACAUUUGUUUCAUGUCAGUGCUGUGUGACACGAAGGCCUGCAGAAACAGGGAUGCCUGUGUAUUCUUGUGCUUGGGUCUGAUGGAGAGUGGGCAGGAUCUCAUUUAAUCUGCACAGACAACACAGAGGUGUGUCGGGGAGGGCAGGCACUAUAUCUUCUCCAAUCCAUAAAUGAGAGGAUGAGAGAUGAACCUGCAGCUGAUAAAGGAGAAGCCAGGCACCUGUCAACUGCUGAGCCACACGAUGACCUGUGAUUUUGGUGGAUGCAUUUGAUUAUACGGGGUCGAACUGAUUUUCAGGUGAAAGAUGGUUGCCAUUUGUUUUGUGGUCAUUUUGUGCCGGGGACCCCUUUUUUAUGAGGUGGCCUAAUUUUGUUUUCUCCUUUAAUCCAAGAUUUGAGAGCACUUAAACCAGCAUUAAGGAAACAACCGUUCUCUAGGGCUGGCUUUUAAUCCAACAAGACAUGGUUGCAGUGGUUUUCAGUAGCCUGGGGAUUGAACUCACAACCUCAUGCUUGCCAGGAAGGCACUGUGCCACUGAAUCAUAUCCCUGGCUCCAGGGGCUUCUCUUUUUUUUUUUUUAAUUUUUUUUUUUUUUUGUCUUUUUCCUUUUUAUUGGUACCGGGGAUCAAACUCACGACUGCCUGCUUGCAAGGCAGGUGCUUAUGCCGCUGAGCUAAACCUCCAGCCCCAAGGGGCUUCUCUUUUUUGUGCAGCAUCUUGUGUGAUCCGAGGAGAGAGCUCUGUUUUGUUUUGCUUUGUUUCUCUUAUUUCAUUUUGUUUUGUUUUAUUUUGAGACAAGAUCUCCAUAUGUAGCCCAGGCUGGACUCAAAUUUGCAGUGAUCCCCCUGCCUCAGCCUCCCAUAUGCUAGGAUUAGAGGUUUGUUCCACAGCUCUGUUUUUUUUCCCACUGUAUCUAUUAUACAUUUUGCUCCUUAUUAGACUUUUGGUUUCUCACACACCAAAGAAACAAUGCGUUAUUUACGUAUGCAUCUUUAUUUAUUUAUUUUUUUUAGUCUUUUUCCUUUUUAUCGGUACCAGGGAUCGAACUCACGACUGCCUGCUUGCAAGGCAGGUGCUUAUGCUGCUGAGCUAAAUCCCCAGCCCUGGUGCUCUGUUCUUAAUGCUGUGUAUUCACUUGGGCCCAGUGGCAAGGUCUAAGUAAGCCAUUGCCUGCACCCUGCGGGUUUUAGGUCCGCACGCUUCCGCAGUCCAGCGUAGACAUGGAGUCUGUGCUGCAGCAGCUUCUCAGGUGUGGUGGGCACAGCCCUCACAGUGCCCAGGUCCCCUGGCUCCUGAGCUGUCUUCACUGGGUGUCUCUGAGAAGGCUCCAGGCUGCCCUACGACACCACCAGCAAGCCCAUCCCCACCCUGAGAUGCUCUGCCUCAUCCUCCUUGAAUGCCAAAGCCCUGGGAUGGCUGAGCGGUACACUGCGAGUGGAGGUGGUGGAGGCAGAUGUCUGCUGUCUCCACUCUGUGUCCCACUGCAGGUGCCUGGGCUGCAGCUGCUUUCUCAAGACUUGAGUGCAAAGUUCUCUCUGCUCCUUAUAGAGCUCCUGGUCUUCUUGGGCCACAGGUAGGCGGGUCAGAUUCCUGAGUGACCACAGCGCCCCCAAGGUAUUCUGAUCAGCCCUUCUGGAUGGACAGCUGUGGCCUGCUCACUGGGUGAAGUUCAAGGCUUUUGCACUGGGUAGAUUCUUGCCAAGAGUAACCGAUAAGGGGACUGUCAGUUACUUACUACCCCUAGCCGGCACUUGCAUACUAAAAUGUGAGUGACUGAUAAAAAGCAUUUCGCUAUUGUUGAUUAUCACCACUGUGCCAGCCAUGAUGCCAGGAGCUCUACUUAUGUUAUUUCCUCCUGAUCCCCACAGCAGCUCUGACGGGGCACAGUUUAACAGCUCAUGGGAUCAGAGGUCAGUGAAAAGCAGGGAGCAGAUACUGCCCGGCGUAAGUGAUUCUCUUACUGUGUGUUGGUUCUUCAUCUCUGAAAUAAAACAGUUAGACCAAAUAGUCCUAAAUCCUUUCUGACUCUUAAAAUUCAGAUCUGUCACCUUUCUUAGGAAUAUGUAUUUGCAACCCAACAAAAGUCAACACUCAGUGACCCCAAAGAUGGUGUACUAAUGAUGGGAACGUGUGUAUAUCUCUCGAUUUCUGGGCCAGUAAUCUAAGCAGGGAUUUGUUUAAAAUUGUCACUUAAUGUUAUUAUUUCCUGGUGUGAAGGAUGACUACAGGCUCUUGUGCAUGCUAGGCAAGUGCUCUCUCUGGUUUAUCCCCAGCCCUAGGAUAUUUUUAAAAUAUAACUUUAGAAAAAAAAAAAAAAAAAAAACAACAACCCCAUCUGGGGCUGGGGUUUUAGCUCAGCGGCAUAAAACGCCUGCCUUGCAAGCAGGCAGUCGUGAGUUCGAUCCCUGGUACCGAUAAAAAGGAAAAAGACAAAAAAAAAAAAAAAAAAAAAACAAAACUUUAGCAGUAGACUCUUCAGACUAGCUUAGAGAAUAAGGGAGGCUCACUGGCUGAACUCCAGGAGGCCCAGAGCUGACUACAGGCUUCAGACAGGGCUCUGUAGGUCUACAAUUUUCAGGUUUUGCCCCUGAUCUUCACCUUUGUUCUCAGGCUAACUUUCUUUGUGUGCAACACAGCACCGUAGCACCAGGGUCCCCUCCACCAAGGGGCAGAAAGCUCCACUGUCAGUCAUCACACGGCUUUCCUUCCACACCGAUUAGCUCAUUGCUGAACAUCCAUAAGCAAAUCCUGAUAGUUAUUUGGCUUGGCCUAAAUUGUCAGCCAUGCUUAAACCAAUCACCGUGGCAGAGGAGAUGGCAUUAUAUGAGUUGAUAUGUGCAAGCAGGGCCUGCCUCUUGGAGCUGGAGUAGACAGAGUCCUACUCAAGGCUAUGUGCAGGAUGGCAUCCUGGGAGGCAGGCUAGCUGGAAGACAGUGAUACUCUGCCCCAGACCUCCUCUGUUUUAUGCCUGAUAGUGGGGCCGCUGGAAGAGUGUAAGAUCGAUGGGAACCCCACGGACCCAGGACAGCAGCCUGGCAUACAGAUGCAUACCCACUUUUGGAGGGUGAAGCAAUCGGUGAGGCCAGUAACAUGGAUGCGUCUAAAGCAGUAGUGAGGAGACGGCAUUUGGAGCCUGGAGAACUCCACCAAUAGAAGACCAGUCCCAGCGCCCACAUCCAGAGGCCAAGAUGGGCUCCAUAUCCAGCACAUCUCUGGGAUGUAACAGGGACACUAUCACAGAACUGCAAAUACCAGAAGAAAGUAGGUUCUUGCUAUAGCUCUAAAGAAUCAACCACAUCUGGAGGACACCCCUGAGGGAAGGACAUCUUUCCUCGUUGAGAGAGGCCUCAAUGCUAGUGGUAGAGUUAUGUAUCAUGGAAGGUUGGUGGGUGUCAACACUGGAGACAAAACAUUAGAAAAAAGAGAAGAUGGAGAAUUGCAACACACAGAGGUGGGUGCGACCCCAGAUCCCCAGCCCACCCAGGGCAGGCCUGGAACUCAACAUGAUGAAUGAAGUUUGAAGUCAAACACUGGAACUUCCUGAAAUGGUAACAAUAGAGGUAAAAAAAAAACAAGUGGAAAAGACUAUAGAGAGAAUGAUCUCUCAGAUACAAAAAGAUAUGAUGCUUAAAGAAGACACAAAUAAUAGAUGAGCUUAGAAAAAGAUAGAAAUAAAAAAUGCCCAACAUAGGAAUCCAUGAAACAGAUCCAAACAGAGAUCCAGGAGAUUAAAACCUCCAUUGCAAGUGUAUGCAACAGAUUGAAUGAAAGAAAGGAUAGAACUUCAGAUCCUGAAGACAGAAUUGCAGCUAAUGAUCAUGAAAAUAAAGAUAUCUUUUUUUUCCCCCUUUGUACUGGUAAUUGAACUCAGGACUGCACUUGCCAGGCAUCUAUAUCCCCUGCCUGAAGAAUGGUAUCUUUAAAAUAGCAAGAAACCAUGAGAAGUCAAUGCAACAGCUACAAGAUAAAGUGAAGAAUAACACAAGAUUGACUGGGUCAAUGAGAAAGCUAGAGACAGCACAAAUGUCAUAACAAUCAUAAAUACAUAUGCACCUACUACAGGAGCACCUAACUGUAUAAGGACAGUUAUUUGUAGAUAUAGAAUCAAAUAAGCAAUAACAGUUGUUAUGGGAGACCUUAGUACGCCAUGGUCACAGAGAGACAGAUCAACUAGACAGAAAACCAGCAAAGAAAUACCAGAGCUGAACCAAACCUGCAAACAAAUGGACUUAAUAGGAAGAAGCCACACCCCAAGGCCCUGCACGUGGAGAGAUCCAGUGAGCCCAGCACAGGCCCAGAGAAGAAGACACGUCUCGAAGCCCCACUCAGAUUGGGGCAGCAUUGGUGAACCAUUGCCUCCUGCCUCCUCAUCACUGCAGGAACCCCAGAUCAGAGGAAUCCUGUAUCUAGUCCAAUCCACUGUAACAGGGGACUGGCAGUCAGUACAGGAAUCACCCGGCAUGUAGCAGUGGGCUGAUUCAGAGGAAUGUGGGAAAAUGUCAAGAUGAAGGAGCAAAACAGAGUCUCCGACCUCAGCCCACCCAGGACAAGUUCAGGAGACACAGACAUAGUAGAAAUUAGAAGUCAAAUACCUGAGAUUUCUAAAAGAUAGCAACUGAAGUAAAGAAGCAACUUUGUUUUUGUAUUGUUUGGUUAAUUUUACGUGCUUAUGUCUGAGGGUCUGCACAGCUGUUUUGAAGAUAACAAGAGGCAUUGUGGUAACCAUUGUUAAUUUCCUGUUAUCAUAUUUUGAAGUCCUGUAUCGUUUUCUUUGUUUUGUUUGGUUUUAUUCUAUUUUGUUUUGUUUGAUUGUAUUAGGGAUGAUGGUAUGGGCAGAUAUUGUGAACACAGUGAUGCCUUGUGGUAGCCGUUGUUGGUUUCCUGUUAUCUUAUUUCAAAGUUCUGUAUCACUUUCAAUGUUUUGUUUUGAUUGGCUUUAUUCUGUUUGGCUUUAUUCUCUUUAAACAAAAGACUAUAUGUAGAACUUCUCAGUAGUGUGUUGGUCGGGUGAGAAUAGGUUAUACUGUAGUACAAACAAGUCCAGUGUCUCAGUGGUUCAAACAGUAAAUGGGUGCUUCUUUUUGGAGACAAGCUCUUGCUGUGUAGUUCAGGCUAGUUUUGAACACACUGCAUAGCCUAGCUAGCCUCAAAUUCAUGGUGAUCCUCCUGCCUCAGCUUCUCGAGUACAGGAAUUACAGGCGUGUACCACCAUGGCUGGUCUUGCUCAUGUUUGAUGUGGGCCAACAGGAAAGUUCAGCUCAUGAAUAUCACUCCUGGGAUGAGGCUGAAGGCGGCUGUAUCUCAUUAUGUGCCUCGCUAGUCCCCUGGCAGGAAAGAGGGCAGGAGAGGACAGCGCCAGCAGUUAAAUGUUCCCGCCUGGAAGACACACAGCGCUCUGCCCUCAUUGCACUGGUAAAAGCGAGGCCCGAUGGCUGUGCUCCACUUGAGAAAAUGCAAACUUCUGGGGUAAACUUCUCCUCUCUGUCUGUUGCUCUCUUCAGGCCUUGAAUAGACUGGAUGAGGCUCAGCCACGUUGGGGAAGGCGGCUCAUGUCACUCAGCCCACUGAUGCAAGUGCUAAUCUUAUCCAGACACACCCUGAAGUAAUAUUUAAUCCAGACCCCCUGUGCUGCAGUCAAAUUGAAACUUAGAAUUAACCAUCAAGGUACAAAGCCUUGAGCAACAUCCCGAUCAUUGGACUUCCAGGAAGGAGUAUUUGCCACUGCACCUUGUCCUGGUCCACCUGCACCCCUUUUGCAGUUCAGGAAAGGGCUGGGGUGUAGCUCAGAGGUACAAUGACUGCCUGUCUCUCGGGCAUGAGGCCCUGGGUCCCACCUCCCGUACAGAAAAAUCCCAAAUCAUAUUACCAGAAUCUUUUUCUGUUGUUUUCAAGAGAGCGUCUUGCCAUGUAGUUGAGGGUAGCUUGAACUCAUUGUGCAGCCCGGAUACUCCUGCCCCAGCUCCUGAGUGCUGGAGUCCAGGCAGGCACCACCUUGCCUGGCUAUCACAUGGGCAGAAUCUCAGCGAGAGUGAAGCAUGUAUAAAGCUGAAGACCAUUGGCACCAGGGUAAAAUAAAAACACAAGUGAAAGAUAGGGGCAUUUUUUCCCAAAAGAUUAUUUGAGAGAUCAUAAUCAUUUCUGUCUUCUGUCUAUAUUUUGGGAUAGGUGAAGGACAGAAUGAUGGUCAGUGAUUGCCUUCUCAGAGAUUGACAGGGUGGAUAUAAAUUAGUUCCUACAUAGGGGAGAGUAAAAGGGUAGCUAAGAAAGAGUGAAAAUAACUCUUUAAAAAUAACUCUUAAGGGGCUGGGGAUUUAGCUCAGCGGCAUAAGCACCUGCCUUGCAAGCAGGCAGUCGUGAGUUCGAUCCCCAGUACCGAUAAAAAGAAAAAAAAAAAAAAAAAAAAGAAAGAAAAAGAAAAAAAACCUCUUAAAUAGCACACAAUAAUUACAAAGACAUGGUCUAAUAAAAAGUACAGUGAAUGUUUAACCGAUUUAUGGCUGGGUGUGAUGACACAUGCCUGUAAUCCCAGCACUAGGGAGGCUGAGACAGGAGGAUUGCAGUGAGUUCAAGGCCAGCCUGAACUAUAUAGCAAGAACUUGUCUCAAAAAAUUUUUUGUUAUUACAGUGAAACACACUUGCCAUUAGUCCCUCUUAAAUCCUCCCCCUUGCUUGACUUUGUCCUUGACGCUUUCCUAAAGCAGUUCUAGAAGUUCUCUUUUGUGAGUGUCCUUAGUUGUGCUGCCAUCAUGGCUACACUGAUGUCCUGAAUCCAUUCAAAACAGUUUUGAUGGCCAUUUUGACUUUGGGGAAGAGCCAGGAGUCUCACAGGACCAGAGCUGAGAGGAGGGGAGACACUGUGGUGAUUUACAAGCCUGCCUUGCUGCUGGUAAAUCAGUUGGCAGCAGCUUUCACCAUUGUUUUGAUCACACCUUUCUUGAGUGUGAAGCCACUCAUGAAAGAGGAUUUCCAGAACUGCUUCAGAAAGUGAC